RNAcentral lists this long non-coding RNA (5925 nucleotides) under Bemisia tabaci. RNAcentral's name for it is "lncRNA ENSSSA1NGG011545". The record is from RNAcentral. Lineage: Eukaryota; Metazoa; Arthropoda; Insecta; Hemiptera; Aleyrodidae.
AUGAAACAGGAAAUUAACUUCAUCGCGCCCGAGAAAGAGCAGAGUAGCUUUGAUCAUGCUAGUGAACUGGUAAUUCCAAGUGAUGUUACCAUACCGGUACCCGAGAAAAUUAAAAAGAAUGAUAUCUUUGACGCCUCUACCUCCCUUGAGAAGGAUAGACGAGUAUCAGCCGAUGUUAACCGUGGCACAGUCAUUGAAUCUCAGCAGUCUCCCCUAGAAGUCGCCGCAGCGACAGUAACAUCACCUGAAAAUGAAGUCAGAGAGGGAACGAACAAUACAGAGGCCAAAAAUCAAGAGCAUGAAGGCACGAUAGAUGACGACGAGCAGGCUGUUCAAAGUGCAGUUGCUGAAUUUAAAGUCGCCGACCUUGAAAGGAGUCAAAUCAUCGCAGCUUCUCUCACCUUGGGAGGAGAUAAACGAGCAUCCGCCGAUAUUAACCCUGACCAAGUCGUUAAAUCUAAACAGUCUCCCCAAGAAGUCUUCACAGUAGAUGGAGCUUCACCUGAAAAUAUAGCCAUAGAAGAAUUGGACACUAUUGAAGCCGAAGAUCAAGAGCGCGAAAGCUGCGUGAAUGACGGCGAACAAGCUAUUCAAACUGAAGUUGCAAAAUCAGUUGUCGUUGAUCUUGAAAUAAAUGAAGUCCUCGAAGCCUCCUUCGCCUCUGAAAAAGAUAAACAUACAUCAACCAGUGCUAGCCCCAGAAAAGUCGUUGAACCUGAACAGAUUUCUCGAGAGAUGGUGACUUCUGAAGAACCUGUCAAUACAUCUGAAGUCGGACAGAGAAUGGACACUAUCAAGGUCGAGAGUCAAGAGGAAAAUGGCUUUGUUGAUAAUGCCGAAAAGUCUGCUCAAAGUUCAUUUGCAACAUCAGGAGUCGUAAAUCUCGAAAGGAACCAAAUCGUUGAAGGCUGCUCCACUUCCGAGGAAAAUGAACUAAAAUCAGUUGAUGUUAGUCCAAAAAAAGUUGAAUCCGAACAAUUUCCUCGAGACAUGGUGAACAAGGCAGUGAUUUCAUCUGAUACUGAAAACAGACCUGAAUUGGACACUACCAAGGCUGAGGAUCAAGACCAGACUUGCUUCAACAGUGACGAUGGACAGGUUAUCCAGAAAAAUGUUGACAUCGCAGUUAUAAAAACUGAAAUCGGACAGGGAACAGACAUUAUCGAGGCCAAGGAUCAACGACAGAAAGGCUCUCACGAUGACAAUGGACGGGUAACUCAGAGUGAUGUCAUCAUAGAAGUAAGAGAGGAGUUUGAAGGGGGUCAAAUCCUUGAGGCCUCCUCCAUCUGUGAAAAGAUUGAUGGUCUAUUAGUCGACAACAUUCCCAAAACAGUCGAUGAAUUUAAACUGACCUCCCUAGAAGUAGCUAAAACAGAAGGAAUGUCCUCAAAAAUGGAACUAAGGCAGGAACUUGGCCCUGCCAAACCUGAGGAUCAAGAACAGAAAGGCUCCGACGGUGACGGUGAUCAAGCUAUUCCGAGUGAGGUUGCAAAAUCAGUACACAUGGAGCUCGAAAGAAUUCAAUCACUUGGAGGCUCUUUCACUACUGAGAAGGAUGAUCGUACGACAGUCGAUGUUAGUCCCGAAAAAGAAGUUGAAACUGAACAGAAUCUUCGAGAAUUAGCCGGAACAGAAGAAACUUCAUCUAGUUCUAAGAAAAUACGUGAAAUGGACAUAGUCGAGGACGAAGAUCUACAGCAAAUAGCCGGCAAACUCGAAAGAAAUCAAGUUCCUGAAGACUCUUUGACUUCCGAGAGGGAUGCUCAUGUCAGUCCCAGAAAAGUCAUUGAAUCCGAUCAAAUCCCUAGAGAGACGUUGCAAACGGCUCCAUCUGGAGAUGAAGUUAAACAAGACGUAGGCACUAUCAAGGAUGAUGAUCGGAAGCAAGAUGGCCGUGAAGAUUGUGAUAAACACGCUGUUUUAAGUGAAGAUCCAAAAUCGGAAGUCACGGACCUUGGUAGGAAUCAAAUCUUUGAAACCUUCUCUGAUGUGGAUGAACAUGAAUCCGUGCAUGUUAGUACUAAAAAAGUUGUUGAACCUGAACGGUGUUCUUUAGAGAUCGUCACAGAAACUUCAUGUAAAACUGAGGAAGUACGUGAAUCUGACCCCGCCGAGACUAUGGAUCGGCAAAAGAAAGGGCUUAGCGAUGAUCGUGAUCAAACUGUUUUAAGUGAAGAACCGAAAACAGUACUCUUGGAUCUUGUAAGGAAUCAAAUCUUCGAGGGCUCCUCCACCUCUGAGAUUAAUGAAAGUAAAUCAGAUGAUAUUAGUCCCAAAGAGGGAAUUGAACCCGAACGGAUUUCUUCUGAAAUGGUGAAGGCGGAUGAGACUGCAUCGGAAACUGAAGUUAAACAGAAAAUGGACACUAUCGAAGCUGAGAAUCGAGAGCAAAAAAGCUUUGACGAUGAUGAUAAACUAGCCAUUCAAAGUGAUGUUGCAAAAUCAGCAGUCAUGGAGCUAGAAGCUAAGGAAUCCCUCGAUGACUCCUGCUCUUCUGACAAGGAUAUACCCAAGCUUAACCCCAAGGAAGUCGUAGAUCUUGAACAGAUCCCUCAGGAAACAGUUAAAUCAGAAGAGACCUAUUCUGUAAAGGAUUUUAAGCAAGAUGUUAAUUCUACCGAGGAUAAAGAUCGAAAGCAGGGUGACUCUAAAGCUAAUGAAAUUGAGUCUAAUCAAAGUGAUGUUGCAGUACCAACUGUCCACAAAGUUGAUAGGAAUCAAAUCCCUGAAAAUUCCUCAAGCUUUGAAAGAGCUGACGUUAUUUCAGUGAAUCGAAACCUCGAACUGGUGGUAGAAUCAGAACCUAUCCCUGACGAGAUAAGCACAGCGGACGGAAAUUCCUCCGAAAAUAAUGACACCACGGAAAAGAGGGCAAUCAAAUCUAAAGAAAACCAGCAAGAAGGCCCUUCCCUAGAGGUUGCGGAUGUGAACGAGAUGAAAAAAGAAGGCGCUAUAGAGGACUUUCCUGGCUUAAAAGAGAGUCAUUUGGUCCAGAGCCCUAUGAAGGACUCUCGUGGCAUGUCUAUAAAAACGACACAUGAGGAGGUCCAAACUAUUACUGCUGUAGAAAAUUUAACAAACAGAGAUCAUGAUAAGUUAUCACUCUUAUCUCAUGAGACGACCGACCUAGAUUCCCCUGAAAAUCUAAAAUUCGAUGACAUUAGUCAGUCUAAUGCUGCAACAGAAUCGCAUUACGAAGGAAGGCGGGAAGGUUCACUUGAUGAAGUUUCGACUGCUCAAUGCAUAAUAAAAGAUAGAGAGGAUCAACAAGACUAUCCUGAAUUGUUGGUGAAGAAACCUAAAACAUGCACCAAUAUCUCCAAAGACCCAAAAGACAUGCAAACCAAACUUAUUUUUGAAGAUUCAAUCGAACCAAUUUUGGAACCUCCGCUUCCGAAGUUUGAGAAUGCUGAAGAGCCAGCUGUAUUGGUCAAAAAAUUAUCAAGAUCUAAGAUUGGGGAUACUGGAGAGUCUCUAUCAUCACAUCUCAUUGCAGCAAGAACCGAAGUUGCUUUAGUAGAUUUACCUGAAAACAAGAGAAUUUUGCCAGAUCAUGCAAAUGAAAGUCUUUAUUCAUCUGUCGGAGAGAAUGCACUUUUAGUCUCAUCCGUCUCAGAUGAAUCGACCUUUAUAGAGCCUGUAGGCUUGGUAAAAUCUGAUUCUCAUGAAGACAUUGAUGACAAGGCAGACAGAAUUACUCAUGUGGAAUGCAGUUCAACACCUAAAACAUCAGAGAGAGAAAGUGUUGCUCCAGAAUUGGAAUGCACCUUAAAUACAAAAUACGAAGAGACGAUGGACCCAGAAAAUAUUUCGUUACCCUCUUCAUUAUCAAGCAGGUCUAGUGAACUUGCCGAAUUUCCUAUGAAAGCUGAAAUAUCUUCUGACUUAGGGAAUGAAAACAAUUCCAAGCAGGCUGGUGACUCUAAAAAACUAUUGAGCCAAUCAGGUUCUAGCCUCAAUACAUCAGCUCCUAGUAUGAAAGACUCCCAUAGAACCCAGCUUGAUCUUACAUCAGACGUACGAGAAGUAGACACCGGAGACUCAUAUGAAUCAGGAGCCUCCACCGCUCCCACCAGUCUAACCAGCUACUCUGAGAAUGAUUCUCAAGUAACAUCUCAGUCACUAACUGAAGAAGACACGAAUAAAGGAAGCAGUUUUCAAAGUGAAUCGUUUUCUGAUAAUUCUUCAGGCCCUGAUUUUGCUUCUCAACGUAGCACCGGUUUCUCUGAGGAUUCGGAGGAACAAGGCAGUCUCUUCACUACAAAAUCCGGUUCAACGUAUGUUUUUGUAAAAUCGACCAGUACUAAUUUAUUAUGCUCCUGUGAUGAAAUUGAAACAGCUCGAGAUGUAACAUUGUCAAGCAAAAACCACGAAGGAAAAGUUGAAAUUAUGGCAACGACUUUGCACGAAACAGUAGCAAUGGAGGAGUCGCAGAAAUCUCCAGCGCAAAUUGUUCAAGGCUCUGAAACUGCUGAAACUGACUUUUCAGGCUCUACUGUCGAACGAGCUGCCCCCACUUUCAAGGUUGAAACGUGGCAGCAAUCUAAUAUCUCUCUGUCGUCAAUCGGAUGUAUUUCAUGGAAUUUGCCUGACAUUGGAAAUGAGAUAGAGCCUUUUAGUUCGGAACAAACCGUAGCUCUGAAUACAGUUUUGACGGAGGACCACUCCUCCUAUGAUAGCGCUGACCAAAAAUUGCAACAAUCAAUUUCUGAAGAACGCAGCAAAAAACCUGCUUCCGUUCCUUUGGAACCUGGCUCACAUAUGCUAGGAGCAACGAACUUGGAGCUUGAAAAUCUUGAGGCGAAUAAAUUUGGCGAAAUGAAUUUAAGUGGAAUGAAGUCCUCUCAGAAUCAGAAAAUUCCUGUGAUUGCAAUAACGCCGGAAGAUGGACCCAAACCAUUGUCCCUGAAAUAUCUAAGAAUUGGAUCAACACCAGAGCCUCUAACAGACACGGAAGAUUUAGAAGCUAGCACUGACCAAACUCUCAAAAUUAUUAGACUUGGAAUGGAUGAUGCUGCCACUACAGAUGUAGAAGAUAUGCAGGAUUCUGAUGACAAUGAUGCCCAAGAGAGGAACAUCUACAAAUAUCCUAAGACAUUCUCAGUUGACGAUAUUCUAGAUCCUGGCUCUUUUGAGGAGUCCAUCAGCAUCAAGUCCAAAAAAAAUGGAAUCAAGAAAUUGUUCUCUUCAUUCACCAGAUCACUCUCUGAGCCCACUUACAAAAAUAAAGGACUCCAGUUACCUGUCUCUGAUGCUGAAGAAUUAACAGAUGUCGACCUGUUAGACUCAGAUUGUGAUGUCAAUCCACACUAUGAUGAAGAUCAUUCCGUCCUAUUAAAUCAUCUAAUGGAUACUGAUGAUACUCAUAUUACCUCUGAGGAUAAAUUCAGAAGUUUAACGCCCUCUCCGAGUGUUACCCCUGAGCCUUAUUUCUCCGAAGGAAGGGUCAAGAAGUUUACUAAGAAGUCUGGAAAGUCAGGGGCCAGUCAUCUUUUAUCUCCUCGGUCACUGUCACCCCACCUUAGCGACUUUACAGACACUGAAAUUAUUUACUCUGACAAUGAAGAUGGCCAUUUUGAUGAUUUUCUAACAGUCGACCCUGUUGGACUGAAAAAGAGAAAAAAUCGCAAGCGAAAUAUUUAUACGAACUCUUCGGUUUAUAUCGCUGAAAUCGAGCCUCAAGCGCAGCCUGCUGAUUAUAGUACAGACACUGAAGAUAUGCUACUCACGGAUAGAGAGGAGUUGUCUCCUAUGCCUGCAAGAAAUGUUUUGUAUGAGGAACCCAAAACUCGUUCCCCUUCGAGACAUGUAAUGAAACCUGAAGCAUUAAGCGCAGAAGUUAGUGACGGUAACACGGACAUUGAAGACUUCUUCUCAGACACAGAUGAAGAUAUACCUCAUACCUCUCAUGCGGUUCCAAAAUAA